AGCAGUAGGCCUGUUCACUUCAAACAGUUUCUCAUUUAUCCUCUUCAUGUGCGUAGGCAUGAUUCAGAGGUUACUUACAGGACGCACAUUCUCCAGUCAACUUUGUUUUUUUAUAGAUCACAACCUUUGCUUGGGAAGUGGCGUCCGCACGUUUCCAGUCCUGUUUAUAUACUGUUUAUAAAUGAGACCCCUGGUCCUGUGGAGUCCUUCUGAAAUGUAAACCUUUUCCUCUCCGUUCUGGUUUUUAGACCCUGAUGUGGUCCAGGUGAACGCUGGAGAUGACGCCACUCUGCCCUGUCAGGUUCACAGGGCCCCCAUCAGAGCCGUAGAGUGGACCAGAACCGACCCGGAGUCUCCGGUCCUCUUCUUCAGAGAUGGACACACAGACACCCCGUUUAAAGGCCGGGUCCAGCUGCUGGACCGGGACCUGAAGGACGGAGACGUGUCUUUAAUUCUGAAGAACGUGAGCAGCAGCGACGCCGGGACGUACGAGUGUCGAGUCGCAGCAGGUAGAUCCAGAUCUAAGAGGGCCCUCAUUGAGGAGCCUCCCAUCAGAAGGAUCCGCCUGGAGGUUCCAGACCCAGGUCCCAGGUCUGGAGACACCGAGGACGCGGACUACAGGCUGUAUGCUGGACUCGGAGCAGCUUUGGGACUGGCUGCUUUAGCUGGUGUAGGAGUGCUGAUCUGCAAGCGUAGAAGACAGACGGCCAGGGAACCAGAAGCGUCUCCUGAUGCAGCAGUGAGCGAUCAGCUCCUCUAAAGUUUAGUAACAGAGCGGACCGGCUGCCUGCUUUUAUCAACAAAACACAAACCUUUCUGCACUGUGACAUAUUUUCAUCAUUUAGAAACUAAAAUAAGCUUCGGUCAAAUCUAAGACCUGCUUUUAUUUUCUUUUUCCUCUUAUAAUAUAUAUAUAAUAAUAUUUUUACCAUGUAAAUGUUGUUCUGUUUCUUUUUGUAUUUAAAUGUCUGUUUUUAGA
Long non-coding RNA from Micropterus dolomieu (smallmouth bass), 979 nucleotides. RefSeq lists it as uncharacterized. NCBI's taxonomy places the organism in Eukaryota, Metazoa, Chordata, Actinopteri, Centrarchiformes, Centrarchidae. The record is from RefSeq and is a predicted model, not a curated record. The transcript is spliced from 2 exons.